UGUAGCAUUCAAUACAAUUCUUCUUUCUUCGAUCUCCCUCCACCCCCUUCGUUUGUUGUAGUCGUGUAUGAUUUGGAACCGCCGCUCGAUAUACUUUGAUUUCUAAUAAGACUUCGACUACUUAGCAAGUGCUAUGGCUCUAUUAUUGUCACAAUAUAGCAGUAUGGCAUCCAAUGUCAUUACCUCAAGGUCUAUGAUGAAUUUUUUAAACUAGAAGCCUUCCUUUGCAGCAUCCAA
RNAcentral lists this long non-coding RNA (237 nucleotides) under Elaeis guineensis (African oil palm). RNAcentral describes it as "long non-coding RNA (EGUI_LNC046649)". Lineage: Eukaryota; Viridiplantae; Streptophyta; Magnoliopsida; Arecales; Arecaceae. The record is from RNAcentral.